Pogoniulus pusillus (Red-fronted tinkerbird) is the source of this 1003-nucleotide long non-coding RNA. RefSeq lists it as uncharacterized. Lineage: Eukaryota; Metazoa; Chordata; Aves; Piciformes; Lybiidae. The transcript has 5 exons. The record is from RefSeq and is a predicted model, not a curated record.
GCGGCGGCUCCGCGCCCCGCGCGCUUCCCUGUCACCGCAGGCCGCGGAGCAGCCUGCAAAGGGAGCGAAGUGAAGGGGUUCGUGGUUUGCUCUCGCUUUGCACCGAGCCCGAGAUGCGGGACGUGGUGCUUCGAUGUGGGGCUCGGGGGGGAAGGUGGAGGGUGGCCAGCGAGCUCCCCUCGGCUGCGCUGUCGUGACAGACAGACAGACAGACAGACAGACAGACACACUUACGUCCUCUGUCGCCACGGGAGCGCGUACUCGAGGUGCCCGGGACAGCCGGGGCCGGCAGCGGGGCUGGGGCAGCGCCCUCCGCCUCCCGAGGAGUGCAGGCCGCACGCCCUGGGGUUGCGUGCCAGUCAGUCCCCGGGCUGAGGAGCCUGCCCGCCUGCCCGCCUGCCCUCCUGCCUGCCUGCCCGCCCGCCUACUUGCUCCCCUCGCACCUCCGCCUCCCCAGCAACCUGCGCAGCAGCGGCUUUGUCUGCCAGCUCGCCUUGCACCGAGCGAAAUUAGGGAGCUGUUAAUGAACUCUCGUUAACACUGUGGUAUUUGACGGCUCAACGUCCCAGAAGAACUCGGACUCUCCCCCAAGAGAUUUUUGCCCAGCACAUACAGAUACUGAGAAUGAGGAGAAGGCAGUUUAUUACCUGCUGAGAUGAAGGGGCUCUGCAAACACAGACUAAUCCAGUGCUAUACAGCUGUAAUGGAAGGAUACCCUGGUCACUCUGUAGCAGCUUUACCUGGAUGUACAUGGACUGAGUGCAAGGUUGAGAUGACACCAAGCUGUGUGGCCUGAUUGUCACACUGGAGAGAAAGGAUGCCAUGCAAAGGGACCUGGACAGCUGUUCAUAUGAACCAAGGCAGGAGUGGUGGCAGAAGGACAUUUAUCUCAAACCAAGUGAGGCAGGAAGUGCAGCAGGAAACAGAAAAUAAAGUGUGGAGAAGAAAAACAUGGAAAGGCUGCCAGGAAGACUUGUGUGCUUAGCAAGCUGUGGAGGCCCAA